GGCUGUUAAAUGAAUCAAUAAUUGGCAAGUCCAUUUAUUAAUUUAAAAUUCUCUGUUUUCAAGGAGAGUUAGCUUGUCAGCACGCUCAUUACCUUGUUUAGUAUUCAUAAAACCCCAAUUACAUUGUGAUCUCUACAGAUGAGAAGCCGAAGUAACUUGGUCCCGGUCACGUGCCUGGUUCUCAGCAGAUCUAGUUUUGAGGCACUGCUGGACUCCAACGCCAUGCUCUUUCCUCCUUCCCAGUCUACCUCUGGUGCUGAAUGCAGAUUUGGGGAGCUGUGGAGUAAACAACACGGGACACUUAAAGACUUCACGCCAUCUUCCCCAGGAGUUGGUGCCAUCUCAGGAAACCAUGGUCUUUGCUCAUCCAUAAGAAGCAAUUCCUCAUCUGUUCAAGUGUACCAUGAGAUGACAGUGGUUCAGCCACAUCUUCAGGCUCCACUUUUGAUUCUAGUUCUCUUGCUGUUUUCACCACAUCCGCAAUUCCUUCCUCCACCGGAGUCCUGA
RNAcentral lists this long non-coding RNA (507 nucleotides) under Mustela putorius furo (domestic ferret). RNAcentral describes it as "lncRNA (ENSMPUG00000032034.1)". Lineage: Eukaryota; Metazoa; Chordata; Mammalia; Carnivora; Mustelidae. The record is from RNAcentral.